This 945-nucleotide non-coding RNA is filed under the name Raddaella batesii. Its description in RNAcentral is "12S ribosomal RNA". It matches the Rfam family "Bacterial small subunit ribosomal RNA". The record is from RNAcentral. Lineage: Eukaryota; Metazoa; Chordata; Actinopteri; Cyprinodontiformes; Nothobranchiidae.
CAAAAGCUUGGUCCUAACUUCGCUGUUGGGUUUAGUCAAAAUUACACAUGCAAGUCUCAGCACCCCUGUGAAAAUACCCUUAAACUCUUUUCUGAGAACAAGGAGAUGGUAUCAGGCACAACCCUACUUAGCCCAAUACACCAUGUUAAGCCACACCCCUAAGGGAAUUCAGCAGUGAUAAACAUUAAGCCAUAAGUGAAAACUUGACUUAGUUACGACUAAUAGAGCCGGCUAAACUCGUGCCAGCCGCCGCGGUUAUACGAGAGGCUCAAAUUAACAGCCACCGGCGUAAAGCGUGAUUAAGGAACAACUAAACUAAAGUGGAAUGCUUCCAUGAUUGUUAUACGUUCCCGGAAGCAAGAACAGCCUUUACGAAAGUAACUUUAACUUACCUGAUUACACGAAAGCUAUGGCACAAACUGGGAUUAGAUACCCCACUAUGCACAGCCUUAAACUUUGUUAGACUACUACAACAUCUAACCGCCAAGGGACUACAAGCAUGAGCUUAAAACCUAAAGGACUUGGCGGUGCUUUAGACCCACCUAGAGGAGCCUGUUCUAUAACCGAUAACCCCCGUUAAACCUCACCUUCUCUUGUCACUCCCGCCUAUAUACCGCCGUCGUCAGCUUACCCUGUGAAGGAUAAUUAGUAAGCAACAUUGAUACUGUCCAAAACGCCAGGUCGAGGUGUAGCGUAUGAGAAGGAAAGAAAUGGGCUACAUUUUCUAUUUCAGAAAAAACGGAAAUUGCUAUGAAACAGCACAUUAAAGGAGGAUUUAGCAGUAAGCAGAGAAUAGAGAGCUCAGCUGAAACUGGCCCUGAAGCACGCACACACCGCCCGUCACUCUCCCUAGACCACACCAGUUUAUUCAUAAUAACCUCAAUUUAAUAAAAGGGAGGCAAGUCGUAACAUGGUAAGUAUACCGGAAGGUGUACUUGGCUAAAC